Molecule: ribosomal RNA, 331 nt
Filed under: uncultured Pelotomaculum sp.
Lineage: Bacteria; Bacillati; Bacillota; Clostridia; Eubacteriales; Desulfotomaculaceae
Description: bacterial SSU rRNA
Rfam family: Bacterial small subunit ribosomal RNA
Source: RNAcentral
GGUUGUCGUCAGCUCGUGUCGUGAGAUGUGGUUAGUCCGCAACGAGCGCAACCCCUACGUUAGUUGCUAACGCGUGAAGGCGAGCACUCUAGACGAACUGCCGUUGACAAAACGGAGGAAGGUGGGGAUGACGUCAAAUCAUCAUGCCCCUUAUGUUCUGGGCUACACACGUGCUACAAUGGCCGGUACAGACGGACGCAAAGCCGCGAGGCGGAGCAAAUCCGAAAAAGCCGGUCUCAGUUCGGAUUGCAGGCUGCAAUUCGCCUGCAUGAAGUCGGAAUCGCUAGUAAUCGCAGGUCAGCAUACUGCGGUGAAUACGUUCCCGGGUCUU